AGUGAACGCUGGCGGUAGGCCUAACACAUGCAAGUCGAACGGCAGCACAGUAAGAGCUUGCUCUUACGGGUGGCGAGUGGCGGACGGGUGAGGAAUACAUCGGAAUCUACUUUUUCGUGGGGGAUAACGUAGGGAAACUUACGCUAAUACCGCAUACGACCUACGGGUGAAAGCAGGGGAUCUUCGGACCUUGCGCGAUUGAAUGAGCCGAUGUCGGAUUAGCUAGUUGGCGGGGUAAAGGCCCACCAAGGCGACGAUCCGUAGCUGGUCUGAGAGGAUGAUCAGCCACACUGGAUCUGAGACACGGUCCAGACUCCUACGGGAGGCAGCAGUGGGGAAUAUUGGACAAUGGGCGCAAGCCUGAUCCAGCCAUACCGCGUGGGUGAAGAAGGCCUUCGGGUUGUAAAGCCCUUUUGUUGGGAAAGAAAAGCAGCAGGUUAAUACCCCGCUGUUCUGACGGUACCCAAAGAAUAAGCACCGGCGAACUUCGU
RNAcentral lists this ribosomal RNA (491 nucleotides) under uncultured bacterium. RNAcentral describes it as "partial 16S ribosomal RNA". It matches the Rfam family "Bacterial small subunit ribosomal RNA", at positions 29 to 506 of the family's 1533-position model. The record is from RNAcentral.